GAGUUUGAUCUUGGCUCAGAUUGAACGCUGGCGGCAGGCCUAACACAUGCAAGUCGAGCGGAUGAAGGGAGCUUGCUCCUGGAUUCAGCGGUGGACGGGUGAGUAAUGCCUAGGAAUCUGCCUGGUAGUGGGGAUAACGUCCGGAAACGGGCGCUAAUACCGCAUACGUCCUGAGGGAGAAAGGUGGGGAUCUUCGGACCUCACGCUAUCAGAUGAGCCUAGGUCGGAUUAGCUAGUUGGGUGGGGUAAAGGCCUACCAAGGCGACGAUCCGUAACUGGUCUGAGAGGAUGAUCAGUCACACUGGAACUGAGACACGGUCCAGACUCCUACGGGAGGCAGCAGUGGGGAAUAUUGGACAAUGGGCGAAAGCCUGAUCCAGCCAUGCCGCGUGUGUGAAGAAGGUCUUCGGAUUGUAAAGCACUUUAAGUUGGGAGGAAGGGCAGUAAGUUAAUACCUUGCUGUUUUGACGUUACCAACAGAAUAAGCACCGGCUAACUUCGUGCCAGCAGCCGCAA
RNAcentral lists this ribosomal RNA (516 nucleotides) under uncultured microorganism. RNAcentral's name for it is "bacterial SSU rRNA". It matches the Rfam family "Bacterial small subunit ribosomal RNA", at positions 9 to 520 of the family's 1533-position model. The record is from RNAcentral.